RNAcentral lists this long non-coding RNA (1149 nucleotides) under Salvia miltiorrhiza (redroot sage). Its description in RNAcentral is "long non-coding RNA (SMIL_LNC000688)". The record is from RNAcentral. Lineage: Eukaryota; Viridiplantae; Streptophyta; Magnoliopsida; Lamiales; Lamiaceae.
AUGUUUGUGUUAUUAAUCAAAUAAUGUAUCAGUAACUAAAAUGAACAAUGUUAAAUAUAUUUAGAAUACAUAGUUAUAUAAUAUUGAAUAUUCGUAUCAGCAUUAAAAUACAUCAAUAUAUAGGUGCAUACUACGCUUGCAUAGUUGCAUGUCACCCCCUUUGGAUUCGUAGUCCUUCUUUGCUUCUUCUUCCCUUUGCCUUCUUCAUUUUGGUGUUUUUGGGGAAACUGUUUUUUUUCCUAGAGCCUCUCCCUUUCACAGUUUUGGCACUUCACUGAUACAAGGCAACAACUAAUUUAAAUUUUUGAAUAGGUGUGGAACUAUCUAAAUUUUGAAUCUUUUGUCAAAUGUACCUCUUCCCCCGACGUUUACUUCCUUCUAGUUUAUCUGCCAGAGCUAAUGCAUUCUGAGUUGAUUUUGGGGGUUCCUCAACAAAAUCUUUGAAUAAAACACAACUAACAACUAAUUAGUCAGAAAUUCGCAUAUAUAUAAAAAAAACAUUUGCAAGAAUUAUUCAUUAAAAAUAAGAUAGUACAUAAUAUUAGUCAUUUGAAAUCAUGUAAUAAAAAAUUAUACUUCAAUUAAUAUUCAAAUAGGUCAACGUAAUAUAUAGUUGUAGAGCAAAUAAUUCACAAAUUUGAGUGCAGAUAGGUAACAAUACCCCAGUCUAUAAUUAAAUUUGCAGAACACAUUAUUUCGAAUAAACAAAAAAAUAGUUAGAAUAUGAAUACAUAAAUUGUUGAAUGCAAUUACGUGAAUAAUUCAGACCAUGUGUAAAUUUGCAGCACAUAUAACUUUAGAAUAAACAAAUAAAUGUUUAGUAAUAAGUUUACACAAAUUGGUGAACGUAAAUACGUUAAUAAUUCAAAAACAUGUGUAAAUUUGAAGCACAAAUUUUCUCGAAUAAACAAACAAACAUUUAGAAUACCAAUAUAUGUAAUGUUGACCUUAAAUAGGUGAAUAAUUCAGACCAGGAAUAAAUUUCGAACAUAUAUUAAUUCGAAUAAACAAAUAAAUAUUUAGAAUAUGAAGACACAAAUAAUUGAACGCAAGUAUUCAUUACCCUCGUCACUACUAUUGUUCGAUUGUUCCACAUUUCCCCCCUGUAUUUCGUCAUUUGAUGAUGAACAACCUGUGCAUCACAAAUUU